AGCUACAUCCGUCACCUGACACGGCCCUACCAGGAACAGCCGCGCUCCCGCGGAUUCUGGUGCUGCUCGCGUCCCCGCUCCCCUAUUCCCCUUAUUUUAUUCCUGGCUCCCCUCGUCGAAAGUCUUCCAUUCUUCAAACUAGAUUAUUUAAAAAUGAAAAAGGAAGAAAGGAAAGCGAGGUCAUCUCAUUGCUCUAUCCGCCAAUCAGGAGGCUGAAUGUCAGUUUUGAACUAAAAGCCGCUCCGCUCCUCUUCUAGAUUUGGAAAACAAGCGAAAUUAAACUAAACCGCUGCACGCCUCUGACGCGACAUCUGGACACGGCGCGGCGCUGGCGCUGCCGGAGCUGUCGACCCGGCCUGGCGCCGGACUAGUGUCCCUUUUGAUGAGAAGAAUAAGCCUCAUUCUGAUUCAACAGCAGAGAUCAAAGAAAAGACUUCUGUUUUCUGGCCACCAGAUAUAUGUUAUCUGUGCUUAAAGAAUUGAAAAACACACAUCAAAGGAGAAUUUUCUUGGAAAGAGAGGGUUCAAGCAUCACUGUUAGGUGUGCUGGAAUCCUUUCCCGAGUCAGUACUGCUUUCUAGAAGAAAACCGGGGAGAUCUAUUUGGAAUGUAUCUAACUCCAAAGAAACCAUCAGAGGUAACAGUAGAGACGGGGUUUCACCAUGUUGGCCAGACUGGUCUUGAACUCUCGACCUCGUGAUUCGCCCGCCUCGGCCUCCCAAAGUGCUGGGAUUACAGGUGUGAGACACCACACCCGGCGGAUAGAGAGAAUUUUGACAGGAUGAUUACGGAGCUAGGAAUUUCCUACGAAGCUGGGUGAUAAAAGGACAUUGGACAAAAACACAGAUAGCUUCAUUCUAUACCAGGAUCCAUCACUGAUUAGCUGUAUUAUAUUUGUCUCUACUGUAAUUUGAGGAGAAUGAUACCUGCUUCUCUAUCUUGUUGGGUUUUACAGAUGAUGUAUUGAAAGUUCAAUAAAAUCUAUAAACAAUAGAUCUCUGUGGCUUGAAUGGUCCUCAGAUAUCUUGACCAAUGAUUCUCAAAUGCUUACCAUAGACCAUAAUUUUUCCCCACAUGACACUGCUUCAUAUUUUUAAGUUUUUUUUCACCAAAUAUUUUGUUUUACUAUCUCCAAGCCCUGAAACUUUUUUUCUCCCUCAAACAUGACUUCAACUUUACUAUCCUGGUCCCUUUCUAUUGAAUGUGUUUUGUUUGUGUCUAUAUUUCUUAUAGUGUCUUGAACUGAUUGUACUUACGAUAUGACUUGACUAGCAUAAGAUAGAAUAGGGCAGUCAUCUUCUUUGAUCUAGACUAGAUGCUAUCCUUCUAUUAAUGCAGUUGCUAGUUUUGUAUUUGCUUGCUUUCAAUUUUUUUUUUUCAGAUUUUGGUAACCACUGUUACUUGACUCGUAUCAAACUUAUCAGUAGCUAAAACCCCCAUUUUCCCUCUUCCUGUGCUUAUUUGACUAGUUUUGUUGCGCUUUCUGAAAUGUUUCUCACUUGUUUUUGACCAAAAAAAUAAAAAUAACAAAUGCCA
RNAcentral lists this long non-coding RNA (1536 nucleotides) under Homo sapiens (human). Its description in RNAcentral is "CDKN2B and CDKN2A antisense cis and trans regulatory RNA 1, transcript variant 12 (CDKN2B-AS1)". The stretch from base 379 to 522 matches the Rfam family "CDKN2B antisense RNA 1 convserved region 3". The record is from RNAcentral. Lineage: Eukaryota; Metazoa; Chordata; Mammalia; Primates; Hominidae.